Polyodon spathula (Mississippi paddlefish) is the source of this 540-nucleotide long non-coding RNA. RefSeq lists it as uncharacterized. The transcript has 2 exons. NCBI's taxonomy places the organism in Eukaryota, Metazoa, Chordata, Actinopteri, Acipenseriformes, Polyodontidae. The record is from RefSeq and is a predicted model, not a curated record.
UAGAGCGGCGUGUGUCUCUUUGUGAGAAUUCAUUUUGCAAAAAAAAAAAAAAAAAAAAAAAAAAAAAUCGUUUUGUUGAAACCUUAAUAAUUUCCUCAUUGACAAUUUCGCGAACCACACCUAAAAAUUACACAGCUGCACAGAAAAUAACCGACUACAGCGGUCCCACGCACCGAACCACGCUUGCUUUAAUAGAAACACACGCACACGCACAAGUCGAGACUGCGGCUCGGUUUCUCCCAGGCUGAGAGGGGUUUGAUUAGAGGGAACAAAACUCCUGGAUACUGAGAGAGCGAGCAAGAGAGAGAGAGAAGAGGUGGACAGAGAGAAAGAAACAAACAGACAAGGGAGGGGCCAGGAACCCAGGACACCUGGAUGGAGUAGCUGGAAAGAAGAAUUUAAAAUAAACAGCUGUCCACGGGGGGGGUGGGGUGGGGUACACGUCAAUCAGGGAUUUUAAGAGGGGGAGAGGAGCGGGCUUCAGGCAUGAGCGAUUUCUGGCACAAAAUCGGUUGCUGUGUGGCUGAGAAACCCCAGCCG